This 254-nucleotide ribosomal RNA is filed under the name Verrucomicrobia bacterium SCGC AAA280-I18. RNAcentral describes it as "partial 16S small subunit ribosomal RNA". It matches the Rfam family "Bacterial small subunit ribosomal RNA", at positions 357 to 603 of the family's 1533-position model. Lineage: Bacteria; Pseudomonadati; Verrucomicrobiota. The record is from RNAcentral.
GAGGAUUUUUCUCAAUGGGGGCAACCCUGANGGAGCGACGCCGCGUGGAGGAUGAAGGGCUUCGGCUCGUAAACUCCUGUCACCGACGAACAAGGCAUUCGGAUUAAUAAAUCGGAUGCUUGAUGGUAGUCGGAGAGGAAGGGGCGGCUAACUCUGUGCCAGCAGCCGCGGUGAUACAGAGGCCCCAAGCGUUGUUCGGAUUUACUGGGCGUAAAGGGUGUGUAGGGGGUUGGGUAAGUUUGACGUGAAAUCCC